RNAcentral lists this unclassified non-coding RNA (200 nucleotides) under soil metagenome. RNAcentral's name for it is "partial contains internal transcribed spacer 2 and large subunit ribosomal RNA". The record is from RNAcentral.
CCCCAUGGGUUUUUCGACCUGUGGUUGGACUUGGACUUGGGCGUCUGCCUCCCCAGGCUCGCCUCAAAUGACUCAGUGGGACUGUGUGACCUAUGCCCGACGUAAUAAGUUUCGUCUCGGCUGGUCGCUUGGGCCUGCUCAUAACACACCAUACUUUUGACAUUGACCUCAAAUCAGGUAGGGCUACCCGCUGAACUUAA